Molecule: long non-coding RNA, 201 nt
Filed under: Phoenix dactylifera (date palm)
Lineage: Eukaryota; Viridiplantae; Streptophyta; Magnoliopsida; Arecales; Arecaceae
Description: long non-coding RNA (PDAC_LNC017580)
Source: RNAcentral
CUACGAUCCGGGAAGAGCUGGGAUGUGUUUUGCCCUCCUGAGAUGGGAGCUGGGAGACACCAAGUUUCGUCCAAUCAUUCAUAUAGAUAAAAUAAAUAAUGUGAUAUGAAAUUUGGGUUGUAGACGGAUUCGUCAUGGGCCAUCUGUUCUCACUGGAGGUCAAUUGCAAAUCUUUUAAGUCAUGGGUCACCCAGCACCUCA